AUUGAACGCUGGCGGCAGGCCUAACACAUGCAAGUCGAACGGUAACAGGAAGAAGCUUGCUUCUUUGCUGACGAGUGGCGGACGGGUGAGUAAUGUCUGGGAAACUGCCUGAUGGAGGGGGAUAACUACUGGAAACGGUAGCUAAUACCGCAUAACGUCGCAAGACCAAAGAGGGGGACCUUCGGGCCUCUUGCCAUCGGAUGUGCCCAGAUGGGAUUAGCUAGUAGGUGGGGUAACGGCUCACCUAGGCGACGAUCCCUAGCUGGUCUGAGAGGAUGACCAGCCACACUGGAACUGAGACACGGUCCAGACUCCUACGGGAGGCAGCAGUGGGGAAUAUUGCACAAUGGGCGCAAGCCUGAUGCAGCCACGCCGCGUGUAUGAAGAAGGCCUUCGGGUUGUAAAGUACUUUCAGCGGGGAGGAAGGGAGUAAAGUUAAUACCUUUACUCAUUGACGUUACCCGCAGAAGAAGCACCGGCUAACUCCGUG
RNAcentral lists this ribosomal RNA (490 nucleotides) under uncultured bacterium. Its description in RNAcentral is "partial 16S ribosomal RNA". It matches the Rfam family "Bacterial small subunit ribosomal RNA", at positions 30 to 507 of the family's 1533-position model. The record is from RNAcentral.